Small nuclear RNA from Cimex lectularius (bed bug), 108 nucleotides. NCBI's taxonomy places the organism in Eukaryota, Metazoa, Arthropoda, Insecta, Hemiptera, Cimicidae. The record is from RefSeq and is a predicted model, not a curated record.
GUACUCACUUCCGGCGGUUCAUAUACUUAAAUUGGAACGAUACAGAGAAGAUUAGCAUGGCCCCUGCGCAAGGAUGACAAGCAAAAUCGUAAAGCUUUCCACAUUUUU